Molecule: non-coding RNA, 45 nt
Organism: Schistosoma curassoni
Lineage: Eukaryota; Metazoa; Platyhelminthes; Trematoda; Strigeidida; Schistosomatidae
Source: Rfam
AUUCAGUUGACGAGUCCCAAAUAAAACGGAACGCAUGUCCUGGAU